GAUGAACGCUGGCGGCGUGCCUAAUACAUGCAAGUCGAGCGAACAGACGAGAGUGCUUGCACUCUCUGACGUUAGCGGCGGACGGGUGAGUAACACGUGGGUAACCUACCUAUAAGACUGGGAUAACUUCGGGAAACCGGAGCUAAUACCGGAUAAUAUUUAGCUUCGCAUGAAGCAAUAGUGAAAGACGGUUCUGCUGUCACUUAUAGAUGGACCCGCGGUGUAUUAGCUAGUUGGUGAGGUAACGGCUCACCAAGGCAACGAUACAUAGCCGACCUGAGAGGGGGAUCGGCCACACUGGGACUGAGACACGGCCCAGACUCCUACGGGAGGCAGCAGUAGGGAAUCUUCCGCAAUGGACGAAAGUCUGACGGAGCAAUGCCGCGUGAGUGAAGAAGGUUUUCGGAUCGUAAAACUCUGUUGUAAGGGAAGAACAAGUACGUUAGUAACUGAACGUACCUGGACGGUACCUUACCAGAAAGCCACGGCGAACUACGG
Molecule: ribosomal RNA, 498 nt
Filed under: uncultured bacterium
Lineage: Bacteria
Description: partial 16S ribosomal RNA
Rfam family: Bacterial small subunit ribosomal RNA
Source: RNAcentral